UUGAACGCUGGCGGCAUGCCUUACACAUGCAAGUCGAACGGUAACAGCUCUUCGGAGGCUGACGAGUGGCGAACGGGUGAGUAAUACAUCGGAACGUGCCCGAUCGUGGGGGAUAACGGAGCGAAAGCUUUGCUAAUACCGCAUACGAUCUACGGAUGAAAGCAGGGGACCCUCGGGCCUUGCGCGAACGGAGCGGCCGAUGGCAGAUUAGGUAGUUGGUGGGAUAAAAGCCUACCAAGGCGACGAUCUGUAGCGGGUCUGAGAGGAUGAUCCGCCACACUGGGACUGAGACACGGCCCAGACUCCUACGGGAGGCAGCAGUGGGGAAUUUUGGACAAUGGGCGAAAGCCUGAUCCAGCCAUGCCGCGUGCGGGAAGAAGGCCUUCGGGUUGUAAACCGCUUUCAGCCGGAAAGAAAUCGCCACUUCUAAUACGAGUGGUGGAUGACGGUACCGGAAGAAGAAGCACCGGCUAACUACGU
Molecule: ribosomal RNA, 480 nt
Filed under: uncultured bacterium
Lineage: Bacteria
Description: bacterial SSU rRNA
Rfam family: Bacterial small subunit ribosomal RNA
Source: RNAcentral